AAUUUUCCGCAAUGGGCGAAAGCCUGACGGAGCAAGACCGCGUGAGGGAGGAAGGCUCUUGGGUUGUAAACCUCUUUUCUCAGGGAAGAAGCUCUGACGGUACCUGAGGAAUCAGCCUCGGCUAACUCCGUGCCAGCAGCCGCGGUAAUAUGGAGGAGGCAAGCGUUAUCCGGAAUUAUUGGGCGUAAAGCGUCCGCAGGUGGCGAUUCAAGUCUGCUGUCAAAGCACGGGGCUUAACUCCGUUAAGGCAGUGGAAACUGAAUAGCUAGAGUGCCGUAGGGGUAGAGGGAAUUCCCGGUGUAGCGGUGAAAUGCGUAGAGAUCGGGAAGAACAUCCGUGGCGAAAGCGCUCUACUGGACGGCAACUGACACUCAGGGACGAAAACUAGGGGAGCGAAUCGGAUUAGAUACCCCAGUAGUCCCACCUGUAAACGAUGGAUACUAGGUGUAGCGUGUAUCGACCCUAUCAGUGCCGCAGCUAACGCGCUAAGUAGCCCGCCUGG
RNAcentral lists this ribosomal RNA (502 nucleotides) under uncultured Coleofasciculus sp. Its description in RNAcentral is "bacterial SSU rRNA". It matches the Rfam family "Bacterial small subunit ribosomal RNA", at positions 360 to 876 of the family's 1533-position model. The record is from RNAcentral. Lineage: Bacteria; Bacillati; Cyanobacteriota; Cyanophyceae; Coleofasciculales; Coleofasciculaceae.